CCGUUAAACUUAACCGUUUACGU
Molecule: ribosomal RNA, 23 nt
Filed under: Escherichia coli DEC8E
Lineage: Bacteria; Pseudomonadati; Pseudomonadota; Gammaproteobacteria; Enterobacterales; Enterobacteriaceae
Source: RNAcentral